UACGAAGGGAACUAGCGUUGUUCGGAAUUACUGGGCGUAAAGCGCACGUAGGCGGACUAAUCAGUCAGAGGUGAAAUCCCAGGGCUCAACCCUGGAACUGCCUUUGAUACUGUUAGUCUAGAGUUCGAGAGAGGUGAGUGGAAUUCCGAGUGUAGAGGUGAAAUUCGUAGAUAUUUGGAGGAACACCAGUGGCGAAGGCGGCUCACUGGCUCGAUACUGACGCUGAGGUACGAAAGUGUGGGGAGCAAAC
RNAcentral lists this ribosomal RNA (250 nucleotides) under uncultured bacterium. RNAcentral describes it as "partial 16S ribosomal RNA". It matches the Rfam family "Bacterial small subunit ribosomal RNA", at positions 524 to 773 of the family's 1533-position model. The record is from RNAcentral.